RNAcentral lists this long non-coding RNA (4781 nucleotides) under Gallus gallus (chicken). The record is from RNAcentral. Lineage: Eukaryota; Metazoa; Chordata; Aves; Galliformes; Phasianidae.
GACUCCCUUCUCUUCCGGUACAUCCUAUUGUUUUAAAAAAUAAUAAUUUGUCCCUCUCAGUUUUUCCUCAUUUUAGGAACAUCAUGCUGGCUUGGCCGGUGCUGUUUUCUACUGCUCUGUGAGCACAUGCGGAGCAGCCUGCAGUGCAGGGUGCGCUGUUGUCCCACUCCCAGGGAAGGGAACCAAUGCCACACUAAUGCCUGUUCUACCCUGUCCCUCAUCGAGCCGGGCCCAGCGGUGGCAGCACGCACCAGGGCAGCUGCACCCAUCCAUCGCUAAGCACACACGUGCACUCCUGGUAGCACAAAGCACUCUGGACUUGUGCCUUGUUACCUGACCGCCUGCCUGUGAGAAACUACAGCAGCAGCAGCAGGACUGAAAGCUUCCUCCAUUGCCUGGGAGACAUGUGUUUCACAUUAUCUAGCAUAUAGCUGGAAUUAUUUAAGCACGGAAUAGUAUAGCCACUCACACAGCAGAGCUCAGGGUGUAACGCUGAGGCCACAAUGGAAGCUAGCAGAAGAAAGCAGAGAGUUUUGUACUGGGGACAGGGAAUGGGAGCACCAUGAUGUCACCAGACCAGCCACCAGAGCCAGGAAACCCAGGCAACUUCUAAAACGAGAAAGACUGUGAUAACUUUGACUGAAGUUCCUGCCAAGGAGAUUAUGAAGUGCACUUUGGGACCUGAGCUGAAACAAUGCCCAUCCCAUGAAUCCAAAGAAGCAGAUGAAAGCAGAGGACCUGUACGCACACUAAAGCUACAGUUUACUAUGAAGAAACUGCUCAGUCUCCCACAGUCAUAGAACCAUUGGAGUUUGGAGGGGACCUUCAAAGAUCUUCUAGUCCAACUCCUCUGCAAUGAACAGGGACACCUACAGCUUGAUCAGUUUGCUCAGAGUCCUGUCCAACCUGACCUUGAAUGUCUCCAAGGACAAAGCAUCCACCACUUCUCUGGGCAACAUCACUACCCUUACUGUAAAAACGUUUUUCUUAUAUCCAAUCCAAUGACAAAAUCAUUGACAAAGUAUCUUGCCGCUACAUGUGUAUAGGGACACAUAAAAUCUCAAGUAACAUAUGAAACAUUGUUUGUGGAAAAUAUAAUCAUCCAUCACCUAAAGGUCUACUUUUUGGCGCACUUAGAACCAACAACUCUUGCAUCUUACUCUAGUCAGCUUCAAUGCAUUUGCAGUUGCAGACACAUAAGACUGUGCCUCUGUCCUAGUAAAGAUCAAGAGUAAACAACAAUAAUAAGUGAUAACAAACCCUGGAAUCGCAGGCAUCAGCCGAGUGCAGCUUCUUUCUCCCAGCCAGGAGUCUGUUCAUGUGUGUUCAAGGCCAGCUCUGAUACAGUGCAACAGUGAACAAACUUGUAUGAGAAAGAAUUAUGAGCAGUCAUAGAAUCAUAAAAUCAUAGGCAUCAUCAUAGUCAUCUAGGGUCUGGGAGCUGCUUUUAGGCACAGGUUCCUACCACUGGUCCCUUAAGCCAUGUUGCAUUUAUAGCUGCACACAGAUGUCUAUCUUGAUUACUUGAGUUAGAUUUGUACUCCACUGUGUUUCUCUACAUUAUCUUCCUGGGUUUUGGCUACCAUGAUGAAAUAAGUCUUUGCAAAAAAGUUCAUCUCACAAAGGAACCCCUACUGGGAAUUUCCUUCCCAGUGCAGUUCUUUAGGAAGUCUAGUUUUUCAGUGAACGGAGUUUGGGUACAUGGACAUCUACUGGAGUUACAAUAUCAUGUAAUGGAUGCAGUUCAGUGUCACUUGGGCAUAAAAUUUACAACUUUGUACGAUCAGAUAAGGAUUCAUUUUUACAGGAGGCCUCUUUUUAUGCUAUUUUUGACUGUGAAAUUAAGUUAUAAAAUAGAAUCAGAACUCCAUCUUAUUAGAAGCUAUACAGCAUUCUUAUCCUGAAGGAGUCACAGUUGUGUUUGGAUGAAUCUUUGACUUUGAAAAGGACACAGCAGUUAUUUUGUGGUUCCAAGUGAAAAUUUUCUCGAUCUUAUCAUUGAAUGAGAAAUAGUAAAAACUUGUAAUGCAGAAAAUGCUGCUAUAAUUAUAUGAGCUACAUUAUAUGAGCUAUAUAAUUUAGAACCAGAACAAUAUAUUAUCACAUAAACCUGUGGAAGAAGAAUUUUCUGACAAACCUCUCAUUUCAUCAAAUAAAGAAAUUAAGGAAAGACAGUUGCAAAAGCAAGAUUGAACAGAAAAAUAUAGUGAUGGAUUACAACGGCAAAUGCUGACAUGGAUCUAGAGACAUCUCUAAUUAGUGUCAGGAAAUUUGAGUAUGUUCUCAUCCAGAGUUUUCUCUAAGCUGCACAUCUCUUAAGUAUAAAUCCCUGGGGAAUAAGACUUGUAACAUAACUGAUGGAAUAACAGUGAGAAGAAAAACAGUGUAUUCUCAAGUACACAGAGUGGAACUUGUCAUUAACAUUUACUGUCUUUUUACAAAGCCAGGUUUGCAUUUUAUAAUCAGGAUUCCAUGAACAAACCUGAGACUUCAGUGAAGAAUGGUUUUAUUUGAUCAGUUGACUGUUGAGUAACACUAAGAUAAACAAUGAACCAAUCAUUUUGUCUUACUCCUCUUUUCACUUUUGUAUGCCUGCCCCUUAUGGUGCCUGUAUACUUUUUGCCCUAUAAAGCAAUACAUUCAAAAAAAGAUUAUUCAAGGACAAUAAAAAAUAGACCUGAAUUGAUGCUUAGUUCCAAUAAUGAAAUUUCAAGAUUUGUAGUGAAGCCAUAGGUUACCAUGAGCUGAAAGAAUUGAGAUGGAGGAAAUGUUUACGUUGGAAAAGAAUACAAUGUGCUCUCCCACCAUGUGGGGUGAAGGGCAUUUUUGUGAAAUGCCCAGCUCAAGCUAUGCUGAACAAGUCAGUUUGACCAUGUGAACUCCCCCACCACCUAAAAACCUAGGGUCCUGCUCUUAUGUGCCUGAGAUUUGGGGUGGCAAAAGGGAAGAGUUGGGGGGGGGGAGCUUUCCCACUCUACUUUUUCCCCUCUUUUUUCUCAUAAUCUGUCUGGAACUCUAUCUUUUUUAAUGCAACUGUAAAACAAGCGAAAUGAAGCUGACAGCAGGUGCUGUGAUCAGUGCUGAUAUAACCCUGUCUCAGCCCUGGACAUCUGAUCAGAAUGUACGCUGUGCCUGAGGUUCUCCAGUUGUGAUUAUCUUAGUCAUACCUUAGGCAGAAACUGCAUUUUCUGUCUUGUUUCUCUUUUCUGACCCCUUCUUUGAACGUUCUUUUAUUCCUUCUGGAAAGAGGAUCAGGUUGAGUAGCAACAGAAAAGCUAGGAACUCCAAAAAAGCUCAAUUGUCUUCUCUUUUUAUUCCAGAAGAACUGUUAUUACUGUUACUAAAAGACAGUCAAAGAAGGGAGUUUCCCUAUAAGAACUCCUUGCUGCUAAGGGGGAAAGAGAUAAUAUUUAACUCUAAAUCUUUUACUCUAUAUUCACUCUACAUUUCAAGUGACUUAGCAGUUUUUCCUUUUUCAGGGUCUGUAAUCAAAGGAUAGAUUUGGAAUGCUGGUUAUUACAAUGGGAGUUUGCCAGCAAUAACUUGAAACCCAGAUAAUGCUUCACUGUUUAUGUUGUAACUGUGAGCAAGUUAUACUGACAUCUUAUCUUUUGUUGGGCACAAGAUAGGUUAUGUUCAACACAGCUCUCAUAUCACUUAGGAAAAGUAAAACUUGUUUGUCUUCUCUAUAGUUUAACAGAAGAGCGCAUUCCCAACUGCUUAUAGCCUUGCUAAGUUUUUAUUGUUUGCAUUCUGGAACCAUUCCCUGCUGUACGUAUACCUCAGAGACUUGCUCGGGAAAGCGUCAGCUAAAGCACUUCAGUCACUUCCAAGAACAAGAUUUCUAAGAAUUUUGAUUAAAAAGCUCAGAGGUGAGGAGUGUGAUAGUGGGGCUGACUGGGCAAGAACCCAUAGGGCACAGGUCCUGUGCAAAGAAUAGUAAGCAAUAACAUAAUUUAUCAUAAUGCAAACUCACUCAUAAAGAGACUGAAAUAAGGAGGCAAAAGAAACUUGAAACACUUGAACUUCAUAAUUUAUAAGAAUUUGACUUGCAACAUUAAUACUGUUCUUUUAGUGUGGUGUUUUGGUGCAUAUCAAUUUCUAAGACACUACUGCUAUAGAAAGAAAUAACGUACUUCUGUUAAUUGUGAACAUGAACCAUACUGGAGGUUGGGAAUCUUGAUGUAGACUUCAGCUUUCUGUAAUGUAGACUUUCAGCAAACCAGUAUGGAAAACAAAUGCCUGGCUAGCAAGCAACUGAAGAGUGUAAGUGUAGUUGCAAGCAACUACAGCAAGUCAAUAUUUCUGACUCACUUUUUCCAGAAUGAGAGGUCGCUCAUGGAUACAACUUUAAAUAAAACAGAAGAUGAGGCUUUAGUUUUUGCAUGUCUAGCAAAAAUAUCAUGAAAACUAUUCGUAAAUGGUGUCCUUACUUAAGUAAACUUUUGUCAGAUCUAGGCAAUUUGGCGUGCCUUUUGUUUAUAAACUUGAACUUUGAAAAGCUUCCUCUGUUUUUGUAAUUACACGGUGAAAUAAAAAGAGGAUUUCUUUUUCCAGAGUUUUGCCUUUCUCAUUUGUCUCCAAAUAUAUUACACUAUAGACAACAAAAAGACACAAUAUUUUUAUGUUUAAAAACAAAUGAGAACUUAGUCCCCAUGAGACUUUGAGCUUCUUCAAUUUCCAGUCAUAGCAGGGGGCUUAGCACCUCAAAGAAUCAAGCAUAAGAAAGUCAUGGCAUUUUCAGAGGGAAAAAAAAAAAAAAAAAAGAAUGACAUAUCUUU